This is a non-coding RNA of Pelobates cultripes (western spadefoot toad), 562 nucleotides long. Lineage: Eukaryota; Metazoa; Chordata; Amphibia; Anura; Pelobatidae. The record is from the annotation of a GenBank genome assembly.
CUAUUCCAUAUAAUUUGUUUAAUCCAUCAUUCUAAAUAUAAUUAACUAUUUCAAUAAUUGCAUGUUUUGACGAAAUAGAGGUUUAUUAUUACAUUCAACUAAUCUUUUUUGACUUUGAUCAGUAUUUAAUUUUGUUGUAAUGGAUAUCAUUUACCACCAGUGGUUUAUAGAUAACUUUGCUGUAUCUUUCAUUUUUGAGUAAAGAACUAAGUGGUUGUUUUUUUUUUUAAUACGUUCUCUGUCUACUUUUUGUACGAAGUGUUCUGAAAAGUACCCUAGGAGUCGGUUCGCCAAAAUCUGUUACAAUUUGUUAACAGUGUUUUUAAAAGUAUUCUAAAUUGUCACCAUUUUUGGUUGCAUAAUGUGACUAACACUACUAUGCAGGUAUACUGGAAAACAACAACAACAACAACAGUAAUGCAAGGCUGCGCCAAAAUGUAUUAAUGUGGACUACAGAUAGUAAAAAGGCAUAUAAAUAAGACUUAUAUAAAAGUGCAAAAUAAAAUAAAAUAUAGAAAAUAGUCCAAAAAGAUUUAGAAGUUGCACUGUGGCAAUAGAGGUC